This 1134-nucleotide ribosomal RNA is filed under the name Clostridioides difficile. RNAcentral's name for it is "partial 23S ribosomal RNA". It matches the Rfam family "Bacterial large subunit ribosomal RNA", at positions 1772 to 2907 of the family's 2925-position model. The record is from RNAcentral. Lineage: Bacteria; Bacillati; Bacillota; Clostridia; Peptostreptococcales; Peptostreptococcaceae.
GGUGGCCGCAGAGAAUAGGCCCAAGCGACUGUUUACCAAAAACAUAGGUUUCUGCUAAGUCGCAAGACGAUGUAUAGGAGCUGACGCCUGCCCGGUGCUGGAAGGUUAAGGGGAUCUGUUAGAGUAAUCGAAGCAGUGAACUUAAGCCCCAGUAAACGGCGGCCGUAACUAUAACGGUCCUAAGGUAGCGAAAUUCCUUGUCGGGUAAGUUCCGACCCGCACGAAAGGCGUAACGAUUUGGGCACUGUCUCAACAACAGACUCGGUGAAAUUGUAAUUCCGGUGAAGAUGCCGGAUACCUGCGACAGGACGGAAAGACCCCAUGGAGCUUUACUGUAGCUUGACAUUGGGUCUUGGUACUACAUGUACAGGAUAGGUGGGAGGCUUUGAAACCAGGACGCCAGUUUUGGCGGAGCCAUCCUUGGGAUACCACCCUUGUAGUACUGGGACUCUAACCAUAGGCCAUGAAUCUGGUCUUGGGACACUGUCAGGUGGGCAGUUUGACUGGGGCGGUCGCCUCCCAAAAGGUAACGGAGGCGCUCAAAGGUUCUCUCAGUACGGUCGGAAAUCGUACGUAGAGUGUAAAGGCAAAAGAGAGCUUGAUUGCAAGACAUACAGGUCGAGCAAGGAUGAAAAUCGGACUUAGUGAUCCGGUGGUUCUGCGUGGAAGGGCCAUCGCUCAACGGAUAAAAGCUACCCUGGGGAUAACAGGCUUAUCUCCCCCAAGAGUCCACAUCGACGGGGAGGUUUGGCACCUCGAUGUCGGCUCAUCACAUCCUGGGGCUGUAGUAGGUCCCAAGGGUUGGGCUGUUCGCCCAUUAAAGUGGUACGCGAGCUGGGUUCAGAACGUCGUGAGACAGUUCGGUCCCUAUCCGUCGCAGGCGUAGGAAAUUUGAGAAGACCUGUCCUUAGUACGAGAGGACCGGGAUGGACGUACCUCUGGUGUACCAGUUGUCCUGCCAAGGGCAUGGCUGGGUAGCUAUGUACGGAAUGGAUAAGCGCUGAAAGCAUCUAAGCGCGAAGCCAACUUCAAGAUAAGAUUUCCCACCGCAAGGGUAAGACCCCAGAAAGACUAUCUGGUUGAUAGGUCGAAGGUGUAAGUGCAGCAAUGUAUUUAGCUUAUCGAUACUAAUAG